CAGGAAUCAGAUGGGCAUAGGGCAUCUGGUCCAUGAUCAUCCUUUGUUCGUGCUGAUCUCCGAUGAAAUAUCUGAAGAAGAAGGAGAACACCAUGUGAAGCUGGAGGCAGAGAUUGGAGUGACACGCCUACAAACUGAGGGGCACCAAAGACCACCAGCAACCACCAGAAGCUGGAAGAGGCAUGGAACAGAUGACCACAAGAGCCUCCAGAAGGAACCAACCAUGCUGACACCUUGAUUUUGGACUUCCAGCCUCUCAAAUUGUGAGCAAAUAAAUUUUUGUUGUUUUAAGCUACCCAGUUGUGGUACACUGUUAUGGUAGCCUGAUAUAGUUUGGCUGUGUCCCCAUGCAAAUCUCAUCUUGAAUUGUAGCUCCCAUAAUUCCCACAUGUUAUGAGAGGGAUCCGGUGGGAGGUAAUUGAAGCAUGGAGAAAGGUCUUUCCCAUGCUGUUCUCAUGAUAGCGAAUACAUCUCAUGAGAUCUGAUGGUUUUAUAAAUGGGAGUUUCCCUGUACAUGCUCCCUUUGCCUGCCAUCAUGUGAGACGUGACUUUGUUCCUCCUUCACCUUCUGCCAUGAUUGUGAGCCCUCCUCAGCCAUGUAGAACUGUGAU
This 611-nucleotide long non-coding RNA is filed under the name Pan troglodytes (chimpanzee). Its description in RNAcentral is "long non-coding RNA NONPTRT009772". Lineage: Eukaryota; Metazoa; Chordata; Mammalia; Primates; Hominidae. The record is from RNAcentral.